AUAUAUUGUUGGGUAUGUACAACCACAAGGCAAAGUUAAGGGUCAAAUGUACCCAACAUAGCAAAUUUGAUGCAAUUUUUGAUGCCAGAACUAAUUUUCCAUUUAUUUUGUAAGGUCAAUUUAAAUGUCAUUUUUCUUUAAAAAUAAACCAGUAAAAACCAAUAGGGAAUUCUACAGUACAAAUCAGGCUAAGAAAUUUUACUUUAAAAAAGGCUUAGAUCAACUUUCGUUUAACUGGAUGGAAAAUAGUGGUAACAUAUAGAGAAUUUACAUUAGAAACAUUUUGUUUGCAAAUUGAAGAUAUUUUAGGUUGAAGAUGCAUGUUCAGGACACACUAUUUAUAAUAGAUUCAAUCCACUUAGUAAUCUCAGGAUCUCUUUAAAUAAUUGAAUUUUGAAGGGAAUUUAGCAUUUUUGCAGAACUAAAUCCAAAGUAAAGACAGCAUCUAAUGAAGCAACCUUGGGUUCAUGCAGGCAUAUUUAGUUAGUCUAUAAGAUGCAUCUCUGCCUGGCAUCUGCCUAAAUUCAAAGAGUCUUUUACAGUUCCAGAAAUCCGUUUCCCCCUAUAUGUAAUUCUUAGAGGUCUCAAACUAAAUUUUUGAGUAUAUUAAAUAAAUGGCCUAAUCCUACUCUUUUUGGUGUGUUGUAGUUAACUUUAGUAGAAAAAAAAAAUUAGAGUUGUAGGGUGAGAUUUUGCAAGUGCUCCAGACCCACUGUUGAGGAUGGAUUUUUUCAAAGAUACACAGUUCACAAGCUGAGGACUUUUCAAAAUCUAGCCCCUGAUGUGAAGGCUGGGCUCUCUUGAAAAUCUGGUCUGCAAUAUAUAGUCAAUUGGUAAAAUCUAAAAUUUGCCAUGUUUUAUGUCAGGAAAAUCAACCAAUCCAAAAAAAAA
Long non-coding RNA from Gavialis gangeticus (Gharial), 891 nucleotides. RefSeq lists it as uncharacterized. NCBI's taxonomy places the organism in Eukaryota, Metazoa, Chordata, Crocodylia, Gavialidae. The record is from RefSeq and is a predicted model, not a curated record. The transcript has 2 exons.